AGCGAACGCUGGCGGCAGGCUUAACACAUGCAAGUCGAGCGGGCACUUCGGUGUCAGCGGCAGACGGGUGAGUAACACGUGGGAACGUACCCUUCGGUUCGGAAUAACGCUGGGAAACUAGCGCUAAUACCGGAUACGCCCUUUUGGGGAAAGGUUUACUGCCGAAGGAUCGGCCCGCGUCUGAUUAGCUAGUUGGUGGGGUAAUGGCCUACCAAGGCGACGAUCAGUAGCUGGUCUGAGAGGAUGAUCAGCCACACUGGGACUGAGACACGGCCCAGACUCCUACGGGAGGCAGCAGUGGGGAAUAUUGGACUAUGGGCGCAAGCCUGAUCCAGCCAUGCCGCGUGAGUGAUUAAGGCCUUAGGGUUGUAAAGCUCUUUUGUCCGGGACGAUAAUGACGGUACCGGAAGAAUAAGCCCCGGCUAACUUCGUG
This 433-nucleotide ribosomal RNA is filed under the name uncultured bacterium. RNAcentral's name for it is "partial 16S ribosomal RNA". It matches the Rfam family "Bacterial small subunit ribosomal RNA", at positions 29 to 507 of the family's 1533-position model. The record is from RNAcentral.